This 498-nucleotide ribosomal RNA is filed under the name uncultured bacterium. RNAcentral describes it as "partial 16S ribosomal RNA". It matches the Rfam family "Bacterial small subunit ribosomal RNA", at positions 30 to 523 of the family's 1533-position model. The record is from RNAcentral.
AUUGAACGCUGGCGGCAUGCCUUACACAUGCAAGUCGAACGGUAACAGGUCUUCGGAUGCUGACGAGUGGCGAACGGGUGAGUAAUACAUCGGAACGUGCCUAGUAGUGGGGGAUAACUACUCGAAAGAGUGGCUAAUACCGCAUGAGAUCUACGGAUGAAAGCAGGGGAUCGCAAGACCUUGUGCUACUAGAGCGGCCGAUGGCAGAUUAGGUAGUUGGUGGGAUAAAAGCUUACCAAGCCGACGAUCUGUAGCUGGUCUGAGAGGACGAUCAGCCACACUGGGACGUAGAAACCGCCCAGACUCCUACGGGCGGCAGCAGUGUUGAAUUUUGGACAAUGGGCGCAAGCCUGAUCCAUCAAUGCCGCGUGCAGGAUGAAGGCCUUCGGGUUGUAAACUGCUUUUGUACGGAACGAAAAGCCCCGGGUUAAUACCCUGGGGUCAUGACGGUACCGUAAGAAUAAGCACCGGCUAACUACGUGCCAGCCGCCGCAGUAA